Transfer RNA from Camelus ferus (Wild Bactrian camel), 72 nucleotides. It matches the Rfam family "tRNA". Rfam says of the family: Transfer RNA (tRNA) molecules are approximately 80 nucleotides in length. Their secondary structure includes four short double-helical elements and three loops (D, anti-codon, and T loops). The record is from Rfam. NCBI's taxonomy places the organism in Eukaryota, Metazoa, Chordata, Mammalia, Artiodactyla, Camelidae.
GAAGGUAUAGUUCAGUGGUAGAAUGCGUGCUUUGCAAGUACAAGAUCCUGGGUUCAAUGCCCAGUACCUCUG